This 5425-nucleotide long non-coding RNA is filed under the name Gossypium barbadense (sea-island cotton). RNAcentral's name for it is "long non-coding RNA (GBAR_LNC011172)". The record is from RNAcentral. Lineage: Eukaryota; Viridiplantae; Streptophyta; Magnoliopsida; Malvales; Malvaceae.
UUAAUUUUCUUAAAGGCAUUACUAGUCCAAUCCUAUAAUGCUACUGAAUUGUCAGGUUUGGAGAGCAUCUCUGGCAGAGCUCCUUGGGACAGCAGUGUUGGUCUUCGCAAUGGAUACCAUAGUCAUCUCCUCCUACGAGACACAAACAAAAACGCCCCACCUUAUAAUGUCAUUUCUUAUUGCUGUCACUAUCACAGUUCUCCUCCUAGCCACGUUUCCCAUUUCCGGUGGCCACAUCAAUCCUGUUAUCAGCCUUGCUGCGUCACUCACCGGAGUUAUCUCCCUUUCACGUGCCGCCAUUUAUAUAUUGGCUCAAUGUGUUGGGGGCGUACUAGGGGCACUGGCAUUACAGUCUGUGGUGAACACCAAAAUUGAGCAAACAUUUUCUCUUGGUGGGUGCACCCUCACUAUUGUUGUGCCAAGUGCAAAUGGGCCACUUGUGAUCGGACUCGAGACGAGCCAGGCCCUAUGGCUGGAGAUUAUUUGCACCUUUGUAUUUCUUUUUGCUUCCAUAUGGAUUGCUUUUGAUAAACGUCAAGCCAAGCACUUGGGUCGAGUGGUGGUUUGCUCUAUCAUUGGUGUUGUGGUGGGCCUUAUCGUAUUUAUCUCAACUACUGUAACUUCCACCAAGGGAUAUGCAGGGGUUGGGAUGAACCCUGCAAGAUGUUUGGGUCCGGCUUUAAUUAGAGGCGGCCACCUUUGGAACGGACACUGGGUUUUUUGGGCUGGACCUGUCGUUGCUUGUGUAGCAUUUGCCCUCUAUACAAAGCUCAUUCCAAGUCAGCUGUUGCAUAAUUGAAUGCCUGAAACAAGGGUGGCAUAAAUAAGUAAUCUUUAAAUGAUGUAAGAACAUGGAUACUUAAUCAGUUUCGGAUGCUUACGUAUCAAACUAAGCUGAUCCAACUAUAAAUGAACAUCUCGUUUUCUCCGGAAGUGUGAAUGGUUUACAACCUCAGACUUUUUGAACUUGUUAUUUGACACAAACAUGAUGGUGUUGAUGGGACGGGCCGGGCCGGGCCCAACUAAAAUUUUAGACCUUUUUGUUAGGUUCGGGUUUGGCACAAAAAAUGGGUUUAAUAUUUUGCUCGGGCCUAACCCAAAUAAAAAUAUUAAAAUCCGGGCUCGGUCCAGCCCGCCUGUAUUAUUUUUUUAUAUUAUUUAUUAUAUAAUUUUUUAAAAAAUGUAUAAUAUAUCAAAAAUACUAAAAAUAUUAAAAUAAAUAUUUCCCAAAAAAUUGAAAAUAAAUAUAUAUAUACUUAAAUAACACUAAAAUAAGUGCAAUAUAACAAGCAAAUGUCUUUAAAAUAGUAACAAAAGUAAGGAGUUAUACAAUAUCCAAACAAUAACAGGAAAAUAGUAAAAAAAAAGUAAAAAACAAUAAGAAAAAACAACAGCUUUUUUUUUUGCGUAUUCGGGCCGGACCAAAAAAAUCUUACCUAAUAUCUGGCCCGUUUUCUAAAUAAGUCUUAAAUUUUUUUUGUCUAAAUCCAUUUUCUAAAAUUAUAUUUUACUUAAACUCUUUCAUUUUUCGAGUGAGUCAUCUCUUCUGUAUCCAAAACAGAAGGGAUCUGAUGGAUUGCAUGUCAAAGUAUGACAUGUAAUGAUAUCGUGAAGUUCAUGCUAUAAUUGUAUUAAGAUGAUGGAAGGGAUUCAUUUGUUACAACUUAAUAUCUGCUACCAACUUAAACACCGAAAGUCUCUUACAUUUUUUUUUUCAUUUUAACCCACAUUUUUUUUAUAAAUAUAUGAUAUUCCUAUUUACAAUAAUUAUCUAAUUUAUUUUUUCAAAAUAUUGAUAAUGUUAUAACAAGUGGGUUGGGGUUAAUUUUGUAAUUUAAAUUUUAUAAUAUCACUACGUCAAGAAUUUUUCUAGAAAAUAAAAUCAACGAAAUCUAUUUUAAAAUUUAUUAUGAUAGAAUUAAAAUGCAUGAACGGUCCGAUGUAGUGUUGGCUUUUCUGUCUUGUAUGAAAAAUUAAUUUAUUAAAACAGUAUCACAUUUUAUUCAUGCUAAGUCAAAGUUCGUAUUUAUAUGUUUGCUUGUUGCAGAUUGAGUCUACUUUUAAGAUUGUUUGUAAGAACAACUUAAUUUUAAGACCCAAACAUGCUGCUGCUAACUUUGAGGAGAAAUAGUUUUUUUUUUAAUGUAAAGAAAUAAUUCAUUUAACAUAAGUAAAUAAUUAAAGUAGUCUUAAAAACUUGUUCCAUAUGAAUGAUUAUUUAUUAAAUAAAUAUUUUUAUUGAAAUUUAAAUACAAAAAAUCUACAUAUUAAUUAGAAUAUUUUAAAUAUAUAAUUUGAAUUUUUUUUUAAAAUUAAUGAUUGGAUGAUGCUUUGAACGAUUGAUCUAAUUCAUAGUUAAUUGUUUUGAUAUAAUAAAAAAAUUAUUAGAAAUAUAAUAUCAUCACAUUACGUUACACAUGGCACAUAUGGAAAAUCACAAAUAAACUUAAAAAUUCAGGUACAAAUAAUAAUUAAUUUUUGUUUUCAAAAUUAAAAUAAACAUGAAAAAGGAAACUUCACUUUUUUGGAAACUGGAAUAAAGCAAGUUCAGAUAUCGUAGAGCAAAUAGCGCCGGUUGUAGUUACAUUAAUUAUAAAUAGAGAGGAUAGAUACAUAGAAAAAACUGAAGCAAGAUAACUUUUAAUCAGGAUAGACACAAGGCAAAAACUGGAGCAAGAUAGCUAUUAAUCAGGAUAGAUACAUAGCAAAAACUGGAACAAGAUUGCUUUUAAUCAGGAUAGACACAAGGCAAACUGGAGCAAGAUAGCUUUUAAUCAGGAUAGAUACAUAGCAAAAACUAGAGCAAGAUUGCUUUAAACCAAAGGUUACUGGAACUGUUGGUGUUAUUGAAGACAAGGAAAAUGCCUAUACUGGAACCAGAGUCUGGUCCUUUGUUGCCACGUCAAGUGUAACGCCCCUAACCCGAAUCCGUCACCGGAAUAGAGUUACAGAACAUUACUGGAGUUACCGAUUUAUUUAUCAGAUAUUUCAUUUUAUCUAAAGUUUAUAUUUGAAACCAAUUAAAAUCAAACAUAUUGUCCCUUAACAUAUUUAUUUUUCUCGAUAUGUUGUACUUGAAUUUAUUACUCGUCUCAAUUUAAUUAAUUUCCUUGUAUCAACGUAUCAAAGAUAAUCACCUAUUUACAUGUCAUGAUAAAUAUCAUUCUCUUGCCAUUUCUUCAUAAACAUAAAUCAGGUAAUUCAUUAUAUCGAUAUUUCAUGCAAAUUAGUCGUUUCUAACAUUUUUACAAAUUACCCACAAAGUUUUACUUUUAUUCAAUUUAGUCCCUGAGCCUAAAACCUGCAAAUUAACCAUGCUAGAUGAGUAUUCAUACAUAUUUUCCUCCUCCUCCUCUCCAUUCCACAUCCUUAAUUUAUAUAACAUGCUACAAAUAACAAUAUCAAUAAUUUCACUAUUUACUUAUAUGUAUAUUUAAAACUGUCCAUUUGCGUCAUAGUCACUAAAUUAUUUAUAUCUUGAGCUACAGAACUCGAAAUUAAGAUCCUCUAAUUUUCCACGAAACUAGACUUAUGUAUAUUCUUACCAUAAAAUUUUCAGAAUUUUUGGUUUAUCCAAUAAGUAUAGUUUAUUCUUUAAAGUCACCCUCAUUCUGAUGUCUGACAAUUCCGACCCUUAUUCACUAAAAAUUAAUUAUCUCAUUGUACAGAACUCAAAUGAUGUUCCCAUUUAUUUCUCUUGAAAAUAGACUCAUUCAUAAUUCUAAUCAUAUAAAUUUAAGCCCAUAAUUAUUUUUAUCCAUUUUUUUAUGAUUUUCCAAAGUUAGAACAGAGGAACCCGAAAUCAUUCUGACCUUAUCUCACAAAAUUUACUAUAUCUCAUAAUUUACAAUUUUAUUUCUUACACCGUUUCUUUUAUAAGAAAGACUCAAUAGGCUUUAAUUUCAUAUUUUAUUUAACCUCUAAUUCUAUUCUCAUAAUUUUUGGUGAUUUUUCAAAUUUAGACUAUUGUUGCUGUCCAAAACUGUUUUAGUGCAAGGUAUUAUUUACCAUGUUUAUAACACCCUUAUUUUCUUUCUCUACACUAUUUUUCAUUACUUUCUCUUAUUUUCUCUUCACUAACAUGACAAGAACAUAAGACCAUAUAUAAGAAAACUCUAAAUCAACAUCAAUUCCAUGUUUUUUCAACAAUAUUAAACUUAAAAAUAUAUUGAAAUCUUAAUGUUCUUACCUUUUCUUAUUGACUUCAAUCUUUAACUUGAUUUUUCUCUCUCCUCCAGCUUCUAUUUCUUGAAUCCAACUUGAUAUUCUUGCUCCCCAUCAUCUCCUUGCUAUCUUUCUCUCUUGAUGGCUAUGGAAAUUUUUUCAAUUUUUAGGUGAAAUUAAUGAAUUUUUGGUGGAAGGACUAAAUUGUAAAGAAAGAAAACUUUUUUUUUUCUUCUUCCUCUCUCACUUUGAUUUGCAUGGGAAAGAAAAGAUGAUGAUUCUUCAUCUUUCUUUCCUUAUAUAUACUAAAUAAAAUAAUAAUAAAAUAAUAAAAUAUCAUUUAAAAAUCAAUUUAAAGUAUUAAUAAACUAAUAUUUAUUUAAUUUAUCUAAAAUAUCUCUCACAUCAUCAUUGUCUCUAGAUUUCUCUCUUCCAAUUGACCAUUUUGCCCUUAUUGAUCUUUUAAAAUUCCAUUCUUGAGUCAUCACUUAAUUUGGUAAAAUUGCAAUUUAGUCUCUCAUAAUUCUUCACCUAUUCAAUUUAGUCCUAAUUCAUCAAUUUUCCUUGGUUUCUAGAUCAUUCCACCCUUAAACUAUUUGCACUAUUAGUCCUUCAACUUUUCAUAUUUACACUUUAAUUCCUCAAAUUUUGAGUAUUUACUCUUGGGCCACAAAACUUUUUUCACUUUUAUAAUUUAGUCCUUUCUUGAAUCAAUAUGUCAUAAUAUACUUCCCAGUGACAUAACUCAAUUUUUUCUCUUCUUGUCACUUUAUUUCCUUAUUUUACUAUAUUAAGGAUAAUAUCUUACUAUAGAAAUUUUCAGCGUGUUACACCAAGGCAAGCCUCACAUACUCUUUAAUAAUCUUUGGACUAUAUUGAACUUGAAAUUGUCUUUUCUUCAAAUAAAUUUGCAGGGUUGAGGAUGACGAGGAGAAGCGAAGUCCCAUUACCUUGAACAAGAUUUUGUCUUGAGGAGCUUUUCUCUUUUGAGGUUUCUGGACUUCUUUUUUCUCUUUAAUUUUCUUAAAGGGUAUUACUGGUCCAAUCCUAUAAUGCUACCGAAUUGUCAAGUUUGGAGAGCAUCUCUAGCAGAGCUCCGUGGGACAACAGUGCUGGUCUUUGCAGUUGUCUCCUCCCACGAGACAUAAACAAAAACGCCCCACCUUAUAAUGUCAUUUCUUAUUGCUGUCACUAUCACAGUUCUCCUCCUAGCCACGUUUCCCAUUUCCGGUGGCCACAUCAAUCUUGUUAUCAGCCUUGC